Nothobranchius furzeri (turquoise killifish) is the source of this 2227-nucleotide non-coding RNA. The record is from RefSeq and is a predicted model, not a curated record. NCBI's taxonomy places the organism in Eukaryota, Metazoa, Chordata, Actinopteri, Cyprinodontiformes, Nothobranchiidae.
GGGCGAUGUUCGUUACAGUGGCAAGAAAAAACUGUAUGAGAACAAACACUUCAUGAAUAGAGAGAGGUGAUUGAGCUAUGGAGAAGCUGGAUCACGUAACAGUAUCUAUCCUUACAGCUGCAUGCAUUGACGAGCCCAUGCUCUUAACUUUGAGCCGCGAGGAUCUGAGGGACCUGUUUCCUGGGCCUGAACACUUUCUCACUAGAAAGCGUGUGUGGUCAGUAAUUCACCCUGAGGAAGACCGUCCUGUAACACAGACCCCUGAAACAUAUUCUUCACCCAGGGUAGUUCCAACAGCCAGGCCUCAAAGUCCUGAUGCUAAAAAAAGCCAGCAGAAGACCUUGCAGCUCCCCAGUCCUCCGGAAUAUGUAGUGUACACAGACAGUGAGUUGGAGCAAUGCAGAAAGAGUUACUAUGAUUUGGCCCAUGUUAGCCGGGAACAUGAAUGUGUCAUGUCCAAAGAACUGAGAUGCAGACUAGUGAGAAAUACAAUCACAAGUAUGGUGUCCCUUUUGAGAGCAAGCGAAGGCCAAAUGGAGCGAUACCCCUCUAAGAACGAAAUCACUGCAAUGGCCAAAAUAAUCGUGGAAUAUUAUCCUAUGCUAAAGGAUAAUGAUGCAAGCGUGAAACACGAGAGCAUCAACGCAAAGUUACUAAAAAGGCUGCAAAAUAUUAAAACUCCUGUAAAAAAGCAACGGCCAACACCAGACAGGGGCCGGCCAAAGAGAAGACUCACUGACCUCUCUCCAACUGAUAAAGAAGCUGAUGAUGAAGAUGUUGAUUGCAGUUCUUCCAGUGGUGCAUCUAAUCUGCUGUUAUCACCUGCAAGCAGUUCUGAUGCUUCCACUUCAUCUGGCAGGGUUAGUCCGCAAAUACAAGCAAGACUUUACAGAACAUUACAAGAAAUGUGCAAGAAGCCGAAACCAAACCAAGAAGAUGUGUCCCAGUUAUUAGACCUCGAGUUUGACUCCAGAAGAGCCUUCAUUGACUCAGACUCCUUGAAAGAGGAGAACAGAGCUUCCCACAUCUUGGAUGCAUAUCCAUGCUUUAAAGAACUGCAUCAUGUACGCUAUUGGGAGAGUUCAUAAUUGGAAUCAAAUUAGAAAUGUAUUUUCUCUGUUAUUUGAGUUUUUUUAUUUUUUAUCUGUGUUUAAUAUUGUAGGUGUUGGGUGAGCUGCGCAGAAUUUUGGAUCCACACAACAACAAGUUCGUCAGUCAAAUCAAACAAAGAUGGCAAGAAUUUUGCUCCAGGGUGGAAUUCUAUGGUGUGUCAAAGAAGGCAAUGAAUCCACCAAUGACUAUGGACAAAACUGAAGCCCAUCUUGCAUUGAUGAAGGCUCUUCCAACACUCUUUCCCUCACCUGCCCAUCCACCCAAAAAGAUGGGGACUGCUUCUGAUGCAUUUCUACAUGUCCUGAAGCCUACAGAAGAUCCAGAUGCAGUCCUCCAGAAACGAAGCUUGUCAUGUCCAGUGGUGAUGUUCGAUGGAUGCAAGUGUGUUAUUGCUGUUGGGAAUUUGCCAGUUACAACAUUUGACAAAGAAAAACUUGGUGAGGCUAUGAUUUAUGUGAUGGCAUACUUUUAUACACUCCAUCUGACUUAUCCCAAAUGCGUGGCAACCCUACUGUCUGUCAUUCAGACAGAAGUUCUCCAGGAUGCUAUUCAUGAGCGUGACACUACAUCAUAUUACAAAAAAGCCCUGGCCGAAUGGUACGCAUUUAUUGGAAAGUAGUUGUACAUUUAGUGAGAUUAUGGGGUACAGUUACUGAUGGAACUGUAAUUUAAAGAGCUGCACAGACCAGAGAUCCCCCCUUUUCUUUCACUUAGUUACAUUCAAUGUAUUUUAUAUUCAUUAUUGUGCCUUUUACUAUAACAUUCCAGGUUCAGUCGGUCAGACAAUAGGAUUAUGUUGAAAUCCUCAUGUUUAAUCCACCAUCAUCUAUGGCCUGCAGAUGGUUACUGAAAUAUCUCAUGUCUCUGACCAAAUGAACCUUGAAAGUUAUACUAAAAACCUGUUGAUUUAUGCUUGUGAUAUUGUUCAUGUUGUUUCUAUUAUAACAUUGGUUUUGGUUUUAUGUUGAGGACAACACAGAACUCUUCAUCAUGUUCUCUCAUAAAAGUGCAGCAUUUUUGUUCAUGUUUGCAUAUUUCAGUAAUUCUCUACACUACAUUUAGUUUGAUCUCAGUAGAAACAAAAGUUGACAUGUUUAAACAGGUUUAACCCUCC